GUGUCAGCAGCCGCGGUAAGACAGAGGGUGCAAACGUUGCUCGGAAUUACUGGGCGUAAAGCGCGUGUAGGCGGACCGGAAAGUCGGGCGUGAAAUCCCUGGGCUCAACCCAGGAACUGCACUCGAAACUUCCGGCCUUGAGUGGUGGAGAGGGUAGUGGAAUUCCUGGUGUAGAGGUGAAAUUCGUAGAUAUCAGGAGGAACACCGGUGGCGAAGGCGGCUACCUGGACACCAACUGACGCUGAGACGCGAAAGCGUGGGGAGCAAACAGGAUUAGAAACCCUCGUAGUCC
This 292-nucleotide ribosomal RNA is filed under the name uncultured bacterium. RNAcentral's name for it is "partial 16S ribosomal RNA". It matches the Rfam family "Bacterial small subunit ribosomal RNA", at positions 505 to 796 of the family's 1533-position model. The record is from RNAcentral.